Molecule: long non-coding RNA, 368 nt
Filed under: Mytilus galloprovincialis (Mediterranean mussel)
Lineage: Eukaryota; Metazoa; Mollusca; Bivalvia; Mytilida; Mytilidae
Source: RNAcentral
UGCGUAUUGUUAUGCGUUUACUUUACUACAUUGGUUAGAGGUAUAGGGGGAGGGUUGAGAUCUCACAAACAUGUUUAACCCCGCCGCAUUUUUGCGCCUGUCCCAAGUCAGGAGCCUCUGGCCUUUGUUAGUCUUGUAUUAUUUUAAUUUUAGUUUCUUGUGUACAAUUUGGAAAUUAGUAUGGCGUUCAUUAUCACUGGACUAGUAUAUAUUUGUUUAGGGGCCAGCUGAAGGACGCCUCCGGGUGCGGGAAUUUCUCGCUACAUUGAAGACCUGUUGCUGACCCUCUGCUGUUGUUUUUUAUUUGGGCGGGUUGUUGUCUCUUUGACACAUUCCCCAUUUCCAUUCUCAAUUUUAUUUCAUUUCUA